ACAGGUGUAAGGCCAUAGCAGAAAUGCUCAUGGCACGACCUGUCAGAUUCCAAUGAAUCUGUGAAUUCUGCU
Molecule: ribozyme, 72 nt
Filed under: Crocodylus porosus (Australian saltwater crocodile)
Lineage: Eukaryota; Metazoa; Chordata; Crocodylia; Crocodylidae
Description: Mammalian CPEB3 ribozyme (ENSCPRG00005011617.1)
Rfam family: Mammalian CPEB3 ribozyme
About the family: The mammalian CPEB3 ribozyme is a self cleaving RNA located in the second intron of the CPEB3 gene which belongs to a family of genes regulating messenger RNA polyadenylation. This ribozyme is highly conserved and found only in mammals.
Source: Rfam by way of RNAcentral